CAGAACGAACGCUGGCGGCAUGCCUAACACAUGCAAGUCGAACGGGAUCCGGACUUCGGUUCGGUGAGAGUGGCGGACGGGUGAGUAACGCGUGGGAACCUGCCCAGUGGUGGGGGAUAACUGCGGGAAACUGCAGCUAAUACCGCAUGAGCCCGAGAGGGGAAAGAUUUAUCGCCAUUGGAGGGGCCCGCGUUCGAUUAGGUAGUUGGUGGGGUAAUGUCCUACCAAGCCGGGGAAAGAUAGCUGGUCUGAGAGGACGAUCAGCCACACUGGGACUGAGUCUCGGCCCAGAGACAUACGGGAGGCA
RNAcentral lists this ribosomal RNA (307 nucleotides) under uncultured Rhodospirillaceae bacterium. Its description in RNAcentral is "bacterial SSU rRNA". It matches the Rfam family "Bacterial small subunit ribosomal RNA", at positions 25 to 350 of the family's 1533-position model. Lineage: Bacteria; Pseudomonadati; Pseudomonadota; Alphaproteobacteria; Rhodospirillales; Rhodospirillaceae. The record is from RNAcentral.